GACGAACGCUGGCGGCGUGCUUAACACAUGCAAGUCGAACGGAAAGGCCCUGCUUUUGUGGGGUGCUCGAGUGGCGAACGGGUGAGUAACACGUGAGUAACCUGCCCUUGACUUUGGGAUAACUUCAGGAAACUGGGGCUAAUACCUGAUAGGAGCUCCUGCUGCAUGGUGGGGGUUGGAAAGUUUCGGCGGUUGGGGAUGGACUCGCGGCUUAUCAGCUUGUUGGUGGGGUAGUGGCUUACCAAGGCUUUGACGGGUAGCCGGCCUGAGAGGGUGACCGGCCACAUUGGGACUGAGAUACGGCCCAGAGUCCUACGGGAGGCAGCAGUGGGGAAUAUUGCACAAUGGGCGGAAGCCUGAUGCAGCAACGCCGCGUGCGGGAUGACGGCCUUCGGGUUGUAAACCGCUUUCGCCUGUGACGAAGCGUGAGUGACGGUAAUGGGUAAAGAAGCACCGGCUAACUACGUG
Molecule: ribosomal RNA, 468 nt
Filed under: uncultured bacterium
Lineage: Bacteria
Description: partial 16S ribosomal RNA
Rfam family: Bacterial small subunit ribosomal RNA
Source: RNAcentral